UCAAUGAUAAUAUUAUGACCAUAAAGAAUUGUUAUUUUUAGGGAGAUAGCUAUUACUUGCAACCCUCUGGACAGGUGAAAGGACUUUGUGGUUUUCCAGGCAGAGAUGGAGAUAAAGGGUCACUGGGAUUGCCAGGGUUACCAGGAUCAUUUGGACCAGAGGGGCCUAGAGGUUUUUCAGGAAUAGAUGGCAUUCCUGGACCACAAGGAGAGAAGGUUUGUUCUGGUUAGAUAAUGGUAACAUGUCAGGUCAGUGUAAUGUGUAAAUCUAAAAUCUGUUGUAACAUAUAGGGUCUAGAGGGUCGAAGCAUGGGAAUACCUGGACCCACAGGUCAAAAGGGGGAGAGAGGACCACCUGGUGUACCAGGACAAAAAGGCGUAAAGUUAUUUGUAACAGGACCAAAGGAGCCUAAGGGUGACACUGGGGAUCCUGGAGACAUUGGAUGUCCUGGCCCAAUUGGUUUUCGUGGUCGUUCUGGUCCUAAGGGGAAGAAAGGGGAAAUUGGGGAGCCUGGGGGUCCGGUAAAUAACUAAAUAAAGAGAGAGAGAGAACUACUCAAGUUCUUCCAAUUUGUACUU
Molecule: long non-coding RNA, 578 nt
Filed under: Sinocyclocheilus anshuiensis
Lineage: Eukaryota; Metazoa; Chordata; Actinopteri; Cypriniformes; Cyprinidae
Description: lncRNA (ENSSANG00000016270.1)
Source: RNAcentral